Molecule: long non-coding RNA, 837 nt
Organism: Boleophthalmus pectinirostris (great blue-spotted mudskipper)
Lineage: Eukaryota; Metazoa; Chordata; Actinopteri; Gobiiformes; Gobiidae
Exons: 4
Source: RefSeq, a predicted model, not a curated record
GUCAUGGGGACAUGCUGUCAGAUUUGCUCUUGGUGUGGCCAAUUAAAAAAAGUAUGAGCUCAUUUGCUGGCCAGUGCAGAGAGCCGGUCUGUGGAGGCUGUCCGGGCUAAGCAGCAGCAGAUAAAAGAGCGGCUCCCCCUGGUCAAGCCCGAGCACGUCCAAGGACAGCUGAAGGCGAUGCUUGUUUGUGCGCCGCUCCAAAAGUGUUUCACAUUUCACACAUCCAGAGCACUUUUCUUCCCCUGCUCCUCAGACUCUCCCUCAGACAGCCAUCUGCCAUGCUCCAGUGCAGUUUUUCUGCUCUGUGCAACAAAGGCCUGGAAACUUCAGAGGUGGGACCAAGUCGAUGUUUUGUAAGUCUCAACACUUUUCAUGCAGCACACCUGUAAACACCAGGGAGGAGACGCACUGAUGCACAGGGGAUGCACGGAAGCCGGACAGCAGGGCAGCAGAGGAGCAGGAGAUUGGAGCAGAGAUGAGGCAGAGAUCCCCGCCAUUCCGUGGGAGUAAUGUGAAUUGUAGUAAUACUUGUCGGGAAAUAGCUUAGGGCUAUCGCAGUUGACGGGGUGCACACUGUCGUUUGUUUGUUGUUGAUCCGAGUAGGUUUCUCAUCGUGCCGAAGCCAGCUGAGUGAAGGAUCGGGAAGAAGUAUAAGUAUUUAAGUAUUGUAGCAACACUCCACCAACGCACCCUAAGGCCUGGAUGUCGCGUACUCUCUCGUGCCGCCCGAGGGGGAUGUCACUGGACCAACAAUCGAGCUGCCAAAGGAAUAUCUGCACUGCACUUUCCCCUGCACUGGUGCUUUUAAGGAACUUUUAACAAUUUUUUAUAUUUGUU